Molecule: ribosomal RNA, 499 nt
Filed under: Diaporthe sp. FLS-2010
Lineage: Eukaryota; Fungi; Ascomycota; Sordariomycetes; Diaporthales; Diaporthaceae
Description: eukaryotic LSU rRNA
Rfam family: 5.8S ribosomal RNA (bases 177-330)
Source: RNAcentral
CUGGAACGCGCCCCGGCGCACCCAGAAACCCUUUGUGAACUUAUACCUACUGUUGCCUCGGCGCAGGCCGGCUUUUUUCGACAAAAAGCCCCCUGGAGACAGGGAGCAGCCCGCCGGCGGCCAACCAAACUCUUGUUUCUAUAGUGAAUCUCUGAGUAAAAACAUAAAUGAAUCAAAACUUUCAACAACGGAUCUCUUGGUUCUGGCAUCGAUGAAGAACGCAGCGAAAUGCGAUAAGUAAUGUGAAUUGCAGAAUUCAGUGAAUCAUCGAAUCUUUGAACGCACAUUGCGCCCUCUGGUAUUCCGGAGGGCAUGCCUGUUCGAGCGUCAUUUCAACCCUCAAGCCUGGCUUGGUGAUGGGGCACUGCCUGUAAAAGGGCAGGCCCUGAAAUCUAGUGGCGAGCUCGCCAGGACCCCGAGCGUAGUAGUUACAUCUCGCUCUGGAAGGCCCUGGCGGUGCCCUGCCGUUAAACCCCCAACUUCUGAAAAUUUGACCUCG